AUUGAACGCUGGCGGCAGGCCUAACACAUGCAAGUCGAACGGUAACAGGGAUCAGCUUGCUGAUUCGCUGACGAGUGGCGGACGGGUGAGUAAUGUCUGGGAAACUGCCUGAUGGAGGGGGAUAACUACUGGAAACGGUAGCUAAUACCGCAUAACGUCGCAAGCCCAAAGAGGGGGAGCUUCGGGCCUCUUGCCAUCGGAUGUGCCCAGAUGGGAUUAGCUAGUAGGUGGGGUAACGGCUCACCUAGGCGACGAUCCCUAGCUGGUCUGAGAGGAUGACCAGCCACACUGGAACUGAGACACGGUCCAGACUCCUACGGGAGGCAGCAGUGGGGAAUAUUGCACAAUGGGCGCAAGCCUGAUGCAGCCAUGCCGCGUGUAUGAAGAAGGCCUUCGGGUUGUAAAGUACUUUCAGCGGGGAGGAAGGGAGUAAAGUUAAUACCUUUGCUCAUUGACGUUACCCGCAGAAGAAGCACCGGCUAACUCCGUG
This 490-nucleotide ribosomal RNA is filed under the name uncultured bacterium. RNAcentral describes it as "partial 16S ribosomal RNA". It matches the Rfam family "Bacterial small subunit ribosomal RNA", at positions 30 to 507 of the family's 1533-position model. The record is from RNAcentral.